This 366-nucleotide long non-coding RNA is filed under the name Carica papaya (papaya). RNAcentral describes it as "long non-coding RNA (CPAP_LNC002428)". The record is from RNAcentral. Lineage: Eukaryota; Viridiplantae; Streptophyta; Magnoliopsida; Brassicales; Caricaceae.
UGGGAUUUAAUUGAAAUUAAUUUUGGGAAAAAGGGGUAAAAUUUUGGAUUCUGGGGGUGUUUUUGAAAAGAAAAUCAGAAAUCGGGAGUCAAAACAUAAUUUAAGAAAGUUGUUCCACAUCAGCAGCCCAGUCAGCAGCCCCGACCAACCAGAACACGCCGCGUGACAAGGAAGCUGACGCAGGAGGCCACGCGGGACGGAGCCACGUGGGCGAUCCGUGUGCACGUGAUCGAACAGUCCAGAUCUCACGCGUGCGAACGGCCCAGAUCUCACCCGCACGGAUGGCCCAGAUCUCACGCGUGCGGACGAUCCAGAUUGAAUCACGCACAGACAGCCUAGAUCACAUCGUGAUGGACGGUCCAGAUU